AGCAGCCGCGGUAAUUCCAGCUCCAAUAGCGUAUAUUAAAGUUGUUGCAGUUAAAAAGCUCGUAGUUGAAUUUCGGGAUCAAUUAAUUGGUCGUGCCUCUGGUACGUACUGAUUUUAUUGGUUUCUCCCUUCUGACGAACCAUGAUGUCAUUAAUUUGGUGUCGUGGAGAAUCAGGACUGUUACUUUGAAAAAUUAGAGUGUUUAAAGCAAGCUAACGCUUGAAUACAUUAGCAUGGAAUAAUGAAAUAGGACGCUUGAUCCUAUUUUGUUGGUUUCUAGGAUCGACGUAAUGAUUAAUAGGGAUAGUUGGGGGCAUUAGUAUUCAAUUGUCAGAGGUGAAAUUCUUGGAUUUAUUGAAGACUAACUACUGCGAAAGCAUUUGCCAAGGAUGUUUUCAUUAAUCAAGAACGAAAGUUAGGGGAUCGAAGACGAUCAGAUACCGUCGUAGUCUUAACCAUAAACUAUGCC
Molecule: ribosomal RNA, 469 nt
Filed under: uncultured Glomus
Lineage: Eukaryota; Fungi; Glomeromycota; Glomeromycetes; Glomerales; Glomeraceae
Description: SSU rRNA
Rfam family: Eukaryotic small subunit ribosomal RNA
Source: RNAcentral